Molecule: ribosomal RNA, 465 nt
Filed under: uncultured bacterium
Lineage: Bacteria
Description: partial 16S ribosomal RNA
Rfam family: Bacterial small subunit ribosomal RNA
Source: RNAcentral
GGCGAACGCUGGCGGCGUGCUUAACACAUGCAAGUCGUACGGUAAGGCCCUUUCGGGGGUACACGAGUGGCGAACGGGUGAGUAACACGUGAGUAACCUGCCCACAACUUUGGGAUAACGCUAGGAAACUGGUGCUAAUACUGGAUAUGUGCUCCUGCUGCAUGGUGGGGGUUGGAAAGCUCCGGCGGUUGUGGAUGGACUCGCGGCCUAUCAGCUUGUUGGUGGGGUAGUGGCCUACCAAGGCGGCGACGGGUAGCCGGCCUGAGAGGGUGACCGGCCACAUUGGGACUGAGAUACGGCCCAGACUCCUACGGGAGGCAGCAGGGGGGAAUAUUGCACAAUGGGCGCAAGCCUGAUGCAGCAACGCCGCGUGCGGGAUGACGGCCUUCGGGUUGUAAACCGCUUUCAGCAGGGACGAAGCUUUUUGUGACGGUACCUGCAGAAGAAGCACCGGCUAACUACGUG